RNAcentral lists this ribosomal RNA (438 nucleotides) under uncultured bacterium. RNAcentral describes it as "bacterial SSU rRNA". It matches the Rfam family "Bacterial small subunit ribosomal RNA", at positions 338 to 791 of the family's 1533-position model. The record is from RNAcentral.
CCUACGGGAGGCAGCAGUGGGGAAUAUUGGGCAAUGGGCGCAAGCCUGACCCAGCAACGCCGCGUGAAGGAAGAAGGCUUUCGGGUUGUAAACUUCUUUUAAGAGGGAAGAGCAGAAGACGGUACCUCUUGAAUAAGCCACGGCUAACUACGUGCCAGCAGCCGCGGUAAUACGUAGGUGGCAAGCGUUGUCCGGAUUUACUGGGUGUAAAGGGCGUGCAGCCGGGAAGACAAGUCAGAUGUGAAAUCCCGCGGCUCAACCGCGGAACUGCAUUUGAAACUGUUUUUCUUGAGUACCGGAGAGGUCAUCGGAAUUCCUUGUGUAGCGGUGAAAUGCGUAGAUAUAAGGAAGAACACCAGUGGCGAAGGCGGAUGACUGGACGGCAACUGACGGUGAGGCGCGAAAGCGUGGGGAGCAAACAGGAUUAGAUACCCGGGU